RNAcentral lists this small RNA (308 nucleotides) under Histoplasma capsulatum var. duboisii H88. Its description in RNAcentral is "Histoplasma capsulatum H88 hypothetical RNA". The record is from RNAcentral. Lineage: Eukaryota; Fungi; Ascomycota; Eurotiomycetes; Onygenales; Ajellomycetaceae.
UCAGACAUCCUAAGAGAAGAUCAUCCAUCUUCUCUCCAACCACCCUUUUAUGCUCCCGUCGGAUUUAAGACCCUUGACUUGCCUUCGAUUUUCUACAUAUUUCUCAAUAACUCCUGUUUCCCAAAUGGCUUACAUCCGGCCGGAUCCUCCUAAUGGAGGAGGCAGAGCAUGGUUGGUUGUUGUAGGCUCAUUUCUCCUUCAAAUGUCAUCUUUUGGAUACCUUAAUACCUGCGGAACUUUCCAAUACUAUUAUCAGAGUGCCAUGCUCCCUAACAAAAAUACAUCACAGCUUGCUUGGAUCACAACUC